This 649-nucleotide long non-coding RNA is filed under the name Bos taurus (domestic cattle). RNAcentral's name for it is "long non-coding RNA NONBTAT019747". The record is from RNAcentral. Lineage: Eukaryota; Metazoa; Chordata; Mammalia; Artiodactyla; Bovidae.
AUCAUAACAUCCUUUUGUCACUACUAUCCCAUGUCACUUAUAAAAUAUGCCAGUACUUAGCUUUCUUCAUCAUGCUUAAAUAUGCAAAGGUUCAUUUAUUAAUAUUUGAUAGACAAUUAAGUAUUUUUUGGUCUUUACUUCUCUGUCUCUCCCUUAGAUAAUUCUAAUCCCCCCUCCCCAUAAUAAGAAAAUAAAAACAUUUUGGUGAAUAGUACAUCUGGACAAAAAAUACAACUUGUAUUUUACUUCUGGUACUUUAAAAUACUAUAUUUAGUUGUUGCUUUUGUUAGUUUCAGAAACCUAAAAGAAAAUCUUUCAUUUCCUAAAAGAUAAAAUUUGAUCUAGCCUCUUUAGUAGACUCUAUCAUAGUUCUAUUGUUUGCUGUGUUUAUUUGCUUAAUGAAUUGCGUGAGAACAGUCACUGUAAUGAAGUGUGUGUGUUGGGGGUGGGGGGAAGGGCAUGGGAAAUGUUUUAUGGAAAAAGAAGUUAUAAGCCUAAUACUAUGAAGUAACAUCUAAUGAAGUUCUUUUUAAGUGCAAUAUAUUUAUUUCUGCUAGAAAUGUAUUAUCAACAUUAUGUAAUAUUUGAAGCAUUACAUGCUAUUUGUAAACAGCUUAAAAUUAUAUAUUACUCAAAAUUGUACAGAAGU